GCCCAGGGUAGCUCAGUUGCUAGAGCAUGAGACUCUUAACCUCAGGGUCGAGGAUUUGAGCCCCACAUUGGGCA
This is a non-coding RNA of Podarcis lilfordi (Lilford's wall lizard), 74 nucleotides long. NCBI's taxonomy places the organism in Eukaryota, Metazoa, Chordata, Lepidosauria, Squamata, Lacertidae. The record is from the annotation of a GenBank genome assembly.